Molecule: long non-coding RNA, 572 nt
Organism: Peromyscus leucopus (white-footed mouse)
Lineage: Eukaryota; Metazoa; Chordata; Mammalia; Rodentia; Cricetidae
Exons: 4
Source: RefSeq, a predicted model, not a curated record
UGGCCGGGGAGAGUGCGGGGAGACCGCGUUUAGAGGAUCAGUGGCGGUGGCCCCGCGCGGUGCCGGCGAUGGCAGCGAGAUGUCCUGGCCCCUUCCAGGUUUGGGAGAAAGGAAAGAACAAGGUGUAGCUGAUUAGCAAGUUAAUUAUUUCAGUACCCCAAGGGUUCAUGCGUGGUGGAGACGGCCGUGGAGGGCCAACUUCUCAACUUCAGCAACGUGAGGAUGACACAGUACUCACUGGUGCUGCCAUUCUGCUGUCCCCGCUCAGGUUGGCUGCCACCCUUGCUGAUGGAGAGAGGCUGGAGGCUGUCUGAGAAGACAGUGCUGAUGCAGAGGCCUCCUAGCGAAGUGUGAAGGGAUGCCCUCAGCCAGGGCUGAAGAAAGGAAGCAAAGGAGGGGAGCCCAAGGAAAGGUGGGGCCAAUUGGGAUUUUUAGGUAACACUCUUCUGGCAUACUUCUCAUGUGUUGUAUGUUAUAAUCGCCAAAUUUCACGUUUAUUGUAGUAGCCUGCCGUGUGUAGGCCAAAUGCUGCUUGGCCAAAACAGUGUUAAAUAAAACUGUAAGAAAUGCUA